RNAcentral lists this non-coding RNA (28 nucleotides) under Homo sapiens (human). Lineage: Eukaryota; Metazoa; Chordata; Mammalia; Primates; Hominidae. The record is from RNAcentral.
CGGGAGCCUGCAGCAGGCACAUCUGACC